GACGAACGCUGGCGGCGUGCUUAACACAUGCAAGUCGAACGGAAAGGCCCUGCUUUUGUGGGGUGCUCGAGUGACGAACGGGUGAGUAACACGUGAGUAACCUGCCCUUGACUUUGGGAUAACUUCAGGAAACUGGGGCUAAUACCGGAUAGGAGCUCCUGCUGCAUGGUGGGGGUUGGAAAGUUUCGGCGGUUGGGGAUGGACUCGCGGCUUAUCAGCUUGUUGGUGGGGUAGUGGCUUACCAAGGCUUUGACGGGUAGCCGGCCUGAGAGGGUGACCGGCCACAUUGGGACUGAGAUACAGCCCAGACUCCUACGGGAGGCAGCAGUGGGGAAUAUUGCACAAUGGGCGGAAGCCUGAUGCAGCAACGCCGCGUGCGGGAUGACGGCCUUCGGGUUGUAAACCGCUUUCGCCUGUGACGAAGCGUGAGUGACGGUAAUGGGUAAAGAAGCACCGGCUAACUACGUG
Molecule: ribosomal RNA, 468 nt
Filed under: uncultured bacterium
Lineage: Bacteria
Description: partial 16S ribosomal RNA
Rfam family: Bacterial small subunit ribosomal RNA
Source: RNAcentral